This 425-nucleotide ribosomal RNA is filed under the name uncultured bacterium. RNAcentral's name for it is "partial 16S ribosomal RNA". It matches the Rfam family "Bacterial small subunit ribosomal RNA", at positions 354 to 796 of the family's 1533-position model. The record is from RNAcentral.
GUGGGGAAUCUUGCGCAAUGGGCGAAAGCCUGACGCAGCCAUGCCGCGUGAAUGAUGAAGGUCUUAGGAUUGUAAAAUUCUUUCACCGGGGACGAUAAUGACGGUACCCGGAGAAGAAGCUCCGGCUAACUUCGUGCCAGCAGACGCGGUAAUACGAAGGGGGCUAGCGUUGCUCGGAAUUACUGGGCGUAAAGGGCGCGUAGGCGUACAGCUUAGUCAGAGGUGAAAGCCCAGGGCUCAACCUUGGAAUUGCCUUUGAUACUGGCUGUCUUGAGUUUGGGAGAGGUGAGUGGAACUCCGAGUGUAGAGGUGAAAUUCGUAGAUAUUCGGAAGAACACCAGUGGCGAAGGCGACUCACUGGCCCAAUACUGACGCUGAGGCGCGAAAGCGUGGGGAGCAAACAGGAUUAGAUACCCGUGUAGUCC